RNAcentral lists this ribosomal RNA (339 nucleotides) under uncultured bacterium. RNAcentral's name for it is "bacterial SSU rRNA". It matches the Rfam family "Bacterial small subunit ribosomal RNA", at positions 430 to 784 of the family's 1533-position model. The record is from RNAcentral.
CCUCUUUUCUCAAGGAAGAAGUUCUGACGGUACUUGAGGAAUAAGCAUCGGCUAACUCUGUGCCAGCAGCCGCGGUAAUACAGAGGAUGCAAGCGUUAUCCGGAAUCACUGGGCAUAAAGCGUCUGUAGGUUGCUUAUCAAGUCUGCUGUUAAAGACCAGGGCCUAACCCUGGGAAAGCAGUGGAAACUAGUAGGCUUGAGUGUGGUAGAGGUAGAGGGAAUUCCUGGUGUAGCGGUGAAAUGCGUAGAUAUUAGGAAGAACACCAACGGCGAAAGCACUCUACUGGGCCAUAACUGACACUGAGAGACGACAGCUAGGGGAGCAAAUGGGAUUAGAUA